RNAcentral lists this long non-coding RNA (1870 nucleotides) under Paramuricea clavata. The record is from RNAcentral. Lineage: Eukaryota; Metazoa; Cnidaria; Anthozoa; Malacalcyonacea; Plexauridae.
GGACGACUGAGCCUGCUGUGCUGGAAUUGACAACCACGUACUAAUCCUCGAAGUCCGCUUGUUUUGAAAGUGAACAUAUCGUCAGUUCACCAUUUUAAUAUUAUCCGACAUUACUUAGGUAUAUAAUGCCAAUUUUUUAUAAACACUGAACAGUGGCGGACAAACUGCCUCCACCCCCCCCNNNNNNNNNNNNNNNNNNNNCCCCCCCCCCCCCCCCCCCCCCGCUGCCUGGAGCCUGGAGCCUUUUAAAUUAUGCCUGAAAAUCUAUGUAACAAACUGUAACAGUAAUUUUUCAUCCAUCAAAGUGUUCGUAGGCCAAAAUUCAAGCUAUACCCUGCAUAUUGCAUGCAAUCUAAAACAUUUUGAAGACAAAAAUUCCAGCCACGAAAAGUGGACACAUGUUGGCAACCUAACUCGUCCACACCCCCCCCCCCCCACACACCCCCAUCNNNNNNNNNNNNNNNNNNNNUUUUGUGUCCGCCACUGUAAUUGAAUCAAUUUUCCAGAUUUAAUAUAUUUUAUACCCUAACACAUCACAAAAUGUACAUAAUUUAAUUUCAACUGCUUAGAAAUUAAGCAUGGUAAAAUGUCACAUAGAUCUCCCCCAAAUUUCAACUGUUUAGAAAUUAAACAUUAGACGCGAUCGUUAAAUUGUAUUAAGCUUUAUUUUACCCAAGAAAGCAAAGAAGUUAUUUAGAAAAUAUAUUGCCUUUCAUACAAACAUGACGUGUUCUACAAGAGAGAGAGAGAGAGACCUAAAUGCGCAUGCGCUUACUAAAUUAUGCCAAUCUUAAUUAAAGUACUUUAUGUAAUAUACAUAACACGUGUCCAUAUGUUAGAACUUUAUUAAGUUAAAUGCAAGUUGAUGACAAUAUAUCAAGCAUGUUUCGCUCGCUACUCUGGUUUAAAUAAAUGAUUACAAAGCCCAGUCGAAUUGUAAUCAAGACUCAACGUUUCGACACUCCAGUCUAGUGUCUUCAUCAGGGGUGAUCUAAAGUUGCAACCAUAGCGAUUGUUUGUGGUAAUUACUUUAAAGUUUUCCCACGCAAUCUAGCUCGUGUUUGGUGUAACAUACAUGUUCUGCUAAAGCUGAUUUUCCCUUGUUUAAAGUUGAAACAGCCUUUUGAUGUUCUUUUAGCCGUGUACCAAACUGGCGUUUAGACUGACCCAAAUACUCUUUCUCGCAGUCACCGCAUGGUAUAGAAUAUACGGCAUGAGUUUUCUAAUUUGUUUUAACAGGAUCUUUUGGCUUUGCGAAAAUAUGGCCUAAAGUCAAAUAGGGUUUUAAGGCAACCUUAAUAUUACAAUUACUUAAGAUUCUCUUGAUUGGUUCCGCGACACCUUGAAUGUAUGGAACUACUGCAUAACCCUUUACACGAUUGCAACUUUAGAUGUAUGUGUCGAAACGUUGGGUCUUGAUUACAAUUCGACUGGGCUUUGUAAUCAUUUAUUUAAACCAGAGUAGCGAGCGAAACAUGAUUGAUAUACCUGGUUGCAGUGAACGAACAAACUUUAAAUAUAUCAAGCAUUCAUUAAUUAAACUUGGACUAACCCCAAAUAUAAUUUUUAGUUUGUGUGAUAUUUGUGUCAUUCUGAGAAGAAAUGUCAGUAGUGUAUCUUUAUGGUAGAAAACCUCAUCUUGAUCAACUUUUUCAUCGUCCAAGUUUCUGGAUAUGAUGUCAUUAGGUGAAUAUUGGUACAAAAAACAAAGGAAAAUUAAUUUGCAAUUCACCUAAUGACAUCAUAUCCGGAAACUUUGACAGUGAAAAGGUCACUCAAGAAGAGAUCUUUUUUGUUAUAAAGAUAACAUUUCGUCUUCCAAUGAUACAAAUAUUACACAUACCAAAAAUCAUAUUUGUGGUUAGUCGCG